RNAcentral lists this ribosomal RNA (253 nucleotides) under uncultured prokaryote. RNAcentral's name for it is "partial 16S ribosomal RNA". It matches the Rfam family "Archaeal small subunit ribosomal RNA", at positions 474 to 727 of the family's 1478-position model. The record is from RNAcentral.
AACCAGCACCUCAAGUGGUCAGGAUGAUUAUUGGGCCUAAAGCAUCCGUAGCCGGCUCAGUAAGUUUUCGGUUAAAUCUGUGCGCUCAACGUACAGGCUGCCGGGAAUACUGCAGAGCUAGGGAGUGGGAGAGGUAGACGGUACUCGGGAGGAAGUGGUAAAAUGCUUUGAUCUUUCGAUGACCACCUGUGGCGAAGGCGGUCUACCAGAACACGUCCGACGGUGAGGGAUGAAAGCUGGGGGAGCAAACCGG